RNAcentral lists this ribosomal RNA (347 nucleotides) under uncultured Acholeplasma sp. RNAcentral's name for it is "bacterial SSU rRNA". It matches the Rfam family "Bacterial small subunit ribosomal RNA", at positions 1036 to 1382 of the family's 1533-position model. The record is from RNAcentral. Lineage: Bacteria; Bacillati; Mycoplasmatota; Mollicutes; Acholeplasmatales; Acholeplasmataceae.
AGGUGGUGCAUGGUUGUCGUCAGCUCGUGUCGUGAGAUGUUGGUUAAGUCCCGCAACGAGCGCAACCCUUUAUUGCUAGUUACCAUCAUUAAGUUGGGGACUCUAGCGAGACUGCCAGUGAUAAACUGGAGGAAGGUGGGGAUGACGUCAAAUCAUCAUGCCCCUUAUGACCUGGGCUACAAACGUGAUACAAUGGCUGAAACAAAGGGCAGCGAAGCAGUGAUGUGAAGCGAAACCCAAAAAAGCAGUCUCAGUUCGGAUUGAAGUCUGCAACUCGACUUCAUGAAGUCGGAAUCGCUAGUAAUCGCGAAUCAGAAUGUCCACGGUCGAAUACGUUCCCGGGCCUU